Molecule: ribosomal RNA, 383 nt
Filed under: uncultured bacterium
Lineage: Bacteria
Description: bacterial SSU rRNA
Rfam family: Bacterial small subunit ribosomal RNA
Source: RNAcentral
CGCAAGCCCUUGACGGAGCAAUACCGCGUGAGGGAAAAAGGCCUUCGGUUUGUAAACCUCUUUUAUCAAGGAGGAAAUUUUGACGUGUACUUGAUGAAUAAGCAUCGGCUAACUCCGUGCCAGCAGCCGCGGUAAGACGGAGGAUGCGAGUGUUAUCCGGAAUCAUUGGCCGUAAAGCGUCUGUAGGUGGUUUAAAAAGUCUAUAGUUAAAUAUUGAAGCUUAACUUCAAAACUGUUUUAGAAACUUUUAGACUUGAGUGUGUUAGGGGUAAAGGGAACUUCCAGUGUAGCGGUGAAAUGCGUAGAUAUUGGAAAGACCACCGAUGGCGAAGGCACUUUGCUGGGCCACAACUGACACUGAGAGACGAAAGCUAAGGGGAGCA